This is a long non-coding RNA of Megalobrama amblycephala (Wuchang bream), 588 nucleotides long. RefSeq lists it as uncharacterized. Lineage: Eukaryota; Metazoa; Chordata; Actinopteri; Cypriniformes; Xenocyprididae. The transcript has 2 exons. The record is from RefSeq and is a predicted model, not a curated record.
UUAGAAAAACACAGACUCAAACUUUUGGGACCCCACUGUAUGUAUUCACUUGUAAACUAGCGGAUAAGUGGAGUACAGACAGAGCAAAACCUGAUCCUGGAUCAGCCCUCCAGCUGUUACACUCUUCAUGAGCAGGAAGCGGAAAACCACGUUCCGGUGCAAUCCUACCUUUCCUCUUCAAGAUAAAUGUGUUGGUGAUGCAGGAGCCAGAUCACCCUGUAUCCCAAGACUGGUUGCCCACUGAAGUCAAGCAGGGUUGAGCCUGGUCAGUAACCUGGAUGGGAGACCUCCUGGGAAAACUAUAGGUUGCUGCUGAAGAGGGGUUAGUGAGGCCAGCAGGGGGUGCUCACCCUGUGGUCUGUGUGAGUCCUGCCCCAGUAUAAUGAUGGGGACACUAUACUCUUAAACCAAGGUUUUGGCCCUCUGUGGUUAUUAAAACUCCCAUGGCACCUCUCAUAACAUUAUGUGAAAAGAUUUCUUUGUUAGUGGCUCUGCAACACGAACCCAUCCCAAACAGUGCGCCACUGUGUGCAUCAGUCCCAUCGCUGUGUGUUGUGCAUGUCAAAUAAAAUCAGUCAUAAUCAUGAA